RNAcentral lists this ribosomal RNA (465 nucleotides) under uncultured bacterium. Its description in RNAcentral is "partial 16S ribosomal RNA". It matches the Rfam family "Bacterial small subunit ribosomal RNA", at positions 338 to 795 of the family's 1533-position model. The record is from RNAcentral.
CCUACGGGAGUCAGCAGUGGGGAAUAUUGCGCAAUGGUCGAAAGCCUGACGCAGCGACGCCGCGUGAGGGAUGAAGGCCUUCGGAUCGUAAACCUCUGUCAGCAGGGAAGAACGGUCCUUGAGCUAAUUAGCAGUGAAUUGACGGUACCUGUAUAGGAAGCACCGGCUAACUCCGUGCCAGCAGCCGCGGUAAUACGGAGGGUGCGAGCGUUAGUCGGAAUGACUGGGCGUAAAGAGCUCGUAGGCGGUAUGUCAAGUCAUGGGUCAAAUCCCAGCGACCAACGUGCGUAAGGCCAUUGAGACUGGCAAACUGGAGUGUGUGAGAGGAUAGCAGAAUUCCAGGUGUAGGAGUGAAAUCCGUAGAUAUCUGGAGGAACAUCGGUGGCGAAGGCGACAAUCUGGCACAAAACUGACGCUGAGGAGCGAAAGCGUGGGUAGCAAACAGGAUUAGAUACCCCAGUAGUC